Molecule: ribosomal RNA, 331 nt
Filed under: Pseudomonas aeruginosa
Lineage: Bacteria; Pseudomonadati; Pseudomonadota; Gammaproteobacteria; Pseudomonadales; Pseudomonadaceae
Description: bacterial SSU rRNA
Rfam family: Bacterial small subunit ribosomal RNA
Source: RNAcentral
CGGUGGACUAACACAUGCAAGUCGAGCGGAUGAAGGGAGCUUGCUCCUGGAUUCAGCGGCGGACGGGUGAGUAAUGCCUAGGAAUCUGCCUGGUAGUGGGGGAUAACGUCCGGAAACGGGCGCUAAUACCGCAUACGUCCUGAGGGAGAAAGUGGGGGAUCUUCGGACCUCACGCUAUCAGAUGAGCCUAGGUCGGAUUAGCUAGUUGGUGGGGUAAAGGCCUACCAAGGCGACGAUCCGUAACUGGUCUGAGAGGAUGAUCAGUCACACUGGAACUGAGACACGGUCCAGACUCCUACGGGAGGCAGCAGUGGGGAAUAUUGGACAAUGG